UAGGGAAUUUUCGUCAAUGGGCGCAAGCCUGAACGAGCGAUGCCGCGUGAGUGAAGAAGGCCUUCGGGUCGUAAAGCUCUGUUGCGGGGGAAAAAAUGGCAGCAUCAGGAAAUGGGUGCUGACUGAUGGUGCCCCGCCAGAAAGUCACGGCUAACUACGUGCCAGCAGCCGCGGUAAUACGUAGGUGGCAAGCGUUAUCCGGAAUGAUUGGGCGUAAAGGGUGCGCAGGCUGCGCGUCAAGUCUGAAGUGAAAGGUACGGGCUUAACCGGUACAGGCUUUGGAAACUGGCACGCUAGAGGACAGGAGAGGGCGGUGGAACUCCAUGUGUAGCGGUAAAAUGCGUAGAUAUAUGGAAGAACACCAGUUGCGAAGGCGACCGCCUGGACUGUUGCUGACGCUCAGGCACGAAAGCGUGGGGAGCAAAUAGGAUUAGAUACC
RNAcentral lists this ribosomal RNA (439 nucleotides) under uncultured bacterium. RNAcentral's name for it is "bacterial SSU rRNA". It matches the Rfam family "Bacterial small subunit ribosomal RNA", at positions 355 to 786 of the family's 1533-position model. The record is from RNAcentral.